CGCUAUGCAUGCAGUCGAACGGGCGAAGGGGCUUCGGCCCCCUAGCUAGUGGCAGACGGCUGAGUAAUACGUAAGUGAUCUACCCCGGAGAGGGGGAUAAGCCGAAGAAAUCCGGUCUAAUACCCCGUACGCUCCCUCUAUUACGGUAGAGAGAGGAAAGUUCCGGCGCUCUGGGAGGAGCUUGCGGCCUAUCAUGGUAGUUGGUGGGGUAAAAGCCUACCAAGCCGAAGACGGGUAACCGGUGUGAGAGCACGAUCGGUCAGAGGGGGACUGAGACACGGCCCCCACUCCUACGGGAGGCAGCAGCAGGGAAUCUUGCGCAAUGGGCGAAAGCCUGACGCAGCGACACCGCGUGGGGGAUGAAGGCUCUCGAGUUGUAAACCCCUUUUCUCGGGGAAGAGACAGGACGGUACCCGAGGAAUAAGGUUCGGCUAACUACGUGCCAGCAGCCGCGGUAAUACGUAGGAACCGAGCGUUGUCCGGAUUUACUGGGCGUAAAGUGCGCGUAGGCGGUUCGUUAAGUCUCAUGUGAAAUCUCCCGGCUCAACUGGGAGGGGUCAUGGGAUACUGGCAGACUUGAGUACAGCAGAGGGGAGUGGAAUUCCCGGAGUAGUGGUGGAAUGCGUAGAUACCGGGAGGAACACCAGAGGCGAAGGCGACUNNNUGGGCUGUGUCUGACGCUGAGGCGCGAAAGCGUGGGUAGCAAACCGGAUUAGAUACCCGGGUAGUCCACGCCCUAAACGAUGGAUACUAGGUAUGGGGGGUAUCGACCCCCUCCGUGCCGCAGCUAACGCAUUAAGUAUCCCGCCUGAGGAGUACGGCCGCAAGGCUAAAACUCAAAGGAAUUGACGGGGACCCGCACAAGCAGCGGAUCGUGUGGUUUAAUU
This 887-nucleotide ribosomal RNA is filed under the name uncultured bacterium. Its description in RNAcentral is "bacterial SSU rRNA". It matches the Rfam family "Bacterial small subunit ribosomal RNA", at positions 47 to 951 of the family's 1533-position model. The record is from RNAcentral.